Molecule: ribosomal RNA, 226 nt
Filed under: uncultured Vexilliferidae
Lineage: Eukaryota; Discosea; Flabellinia; Dactylopodida; Vexilliferidae
Description: partial Bacterial large subunit ribosomal RNA
Rfam family: Bacterial large subunit ribosomal RNA
Source: RNAcentral
AGAUAGCGUAACAGCUCACUGGUCUAAAUAAGGGGUUCCGCGCCGAAAAUGUACCGGGGCUCAAGCCAUACACCGAAACUGCGGGUGCAUCUUAUGAUGCGCGGUAGCGGAGCGUUCUGUAAGUCUGCGAAGGGGGACCCGUGAGGGCUCCUGGAGAUAUCAGAAGUGCGAAUGCUGACGUGAGUAACGAUAAUGGGGGUGAAAAACCUCCACGCCGAAAGACCGA